AACGCGAAGAACCUUACCUACCCUUGACAUGCCAGGAAGCCCGGUGAGAGUUGGGUGUGCCCGAAAGGGAGCCUGGACACAGGUGCUGCAUGGCUGUCGUCAGCUCGUGUCGUGAGAUGUUGGGUUAAGUCCCGCAACGAGCGCAACCCUUGUCACUAGUUGCUACGGUAACGGGCACUCUAGUGAGACUGCCGGUGACAAACCGGAAGAAGGUGGGGAUGACGUCAAGUCCUCAUGGCCCUUAUGGGUAGGGCUUCACACGUCAUACAAUGGCGCAUACAAAGGGCUGCCAACCCGCGAGGGGGAGCCAAUCCCAGAAAGUGCGUCGUAGUCCGGAUUGCAGUCUGCAACUCGACUGCAUGGAGUCGGAAUCGCUAGUAAUCGCGGAUCAGCAAUGUCGCGGUGAAUACGUUCCCGGGUCUUGUACACACCG
Molecule: ribosomal RNA, 433 nt
Filed under: uncultured bacterium
Lineage: Bacteria
Description: bacterial SSU rRNA
Rfam family: Bacterial small subunit ribosomal RNA
Source: RNAcentral